GGAAGGAAGGUGCUAGGUAAAAGAAAAGAGUGAAAAAGAAAAGAUGAGAUUGAAGACAAAAGAUAGGGUUGAAAGAAGAGUCGAAGAAGGAAAGGUUAGAGGGGAAGUAGUAGGGGAAUGGGCAACUUGGCCUGAAAGAGGUGCAGUUUUUGGUAGUAACCUUAGAGCUACAAUCUGGGCAUACCCGGCAUUGAAUGAGGGAGAGCAAAAUGCUAAAGGACAAAUAUCAGCAUCUACCCAUCCAGGGCUGCAGCAGUCUGCAGAGAGGAGGGGAGGGGAAGGGAGGGUAUGCAGAUUCUGAGCUGUUAUUAUCAGGCCCUCCCUAGAUUUCACUUUAAUUGCGGUUGUUUUAUGGGAUCGGCUGCCACUACUCUUUGCAAUGUCAUUGUUAAUGCUCUGUCAUAAUAAUAACAAUAAUAAUAUGAAAGCUGUGAUACUCAA
Molecule: long non-coding RNA, 441 nt
Organism: Manihot esculenta (cassava)
Lineage: Eukaryota; Viridiplantae; Streptophyta; Magnoliopsida; Malpighiales; Euphorbiaceae
Exons: 2
Source: RefSeq, a predicted model, not a curated record